RNAcentral lists this ribosomal RNA (725 nucleotides) under uncultured prokaryote. RNAcentral's name for it is "bacterial SSU rRNA". It matches the Rfam family "Bacterial small subunit ribosomal RNA", at positions 28 to 771 of the family's 1533-position model. The record is from RNAcentral.
GAUGAACGCUGACAGAAUGCUUAACACAUGCAAGUCGAUUCGAUUUACCUUCGGGUAUUGAGGAUGGCGGACGGGUGAGUAACGCGUAAGGAACUUGCCUCUUGGUCUGGGACAACUGUUGGAAACGACAGCUAAUACCGGAUAUUAUGAGAUUCUCGCAUGGGAAACUUAUGAAAGCUAUAUGCGCCAAGAGAGAGCCUUGCGUUCCAUUAGCUAGUUGGUGGGGUAACGGCCCACCAAGGCGACGAUGGAUAGCCGGCCUGAGAGGGUGAACGGCCACAAGGGGACUGAGACACGGCCCUUACUCCUACGGGAGGCAGCAGUGGGGAAUAUUGGACAAUGGGCCACAAGCCUGAUCCAGCAAUUCUGUGUGCACGAUGAAGGUCUUCGGAUUGUAAAGUGCUUUCAGUUGGGAAGAAGAAAGUGACGGUACCAACAGAAGAAGCGACGGCUAAAUACGUGCCAGCAGCCGCGGUAAUACGUAUGUCGCAAGCGUUAUCCGGAUUUAUUGGGCGUAAAGCGCGUCUAGGCGGAAAAAUAAGUCUGAUGUUAAAAUGCGGGGCUCAACUCCGUAUUGCGUUGGAAACUGUUUUUCUAGAGUACUGGAGAGGUGGGCGGAACUACAAGUGUAGAGGUGAAAUUCGUAGAUAUUUGUAGGAAUGCCGAUGGAGAAGUCAGCUCACUGGACAGAUACUGACGCUAAAGCGCGAAAGCGUGGGGAGCAA